GGCCACGUGGCGAAGUUGGUUAACGCGGCGGUCUGCAAAACCGCUAUUCGCGGGUCCGAUCCCCGCCGUGGCCUCCA
RNAcentral lists this transfer RNA (77 nucleotides) under Patescibacteria group bacterium. RNAcentral describes it as "tRNA-Cys". It matches the Rfam family "tRNA". From Rfam's summary of the family: Transfer RNA (tRNA) molecules are approximately 80 nucleotides in length. Their secondary structure includes four short double-helical elements and three loops (D, anti-codon, and T loops). The record is from RNAcentral.